GGCGUCUAUUUCACUCGCCUUGGUCAUCACGCAUACAUAUUUAUUUCUUAUAUAAGCUACCUAUGGUCACUCACUGUUAAAUGCCGACUUACUUCUCAGACCUGUAGUAGUACUAGUACAAAGAGAUACAUGCAUUAAACCACAAUGGGCAACGUCAACAUUUGCAAAACCUGUCCCACAUAAUUCAAGUCAGACGAGCUACUACAUUGGUUUCCAGUGCAUGCACAAGGUUACUAAUGAACCGGAUUGCAGUUCAGCUUCAGUUAAACUCAAACAAUGAUUUCAAUUCAAACGUGAGGCCAUCAUAAUUCAUCCUUUACUAAUUCCUAAAACAAAUUUCAAAGAUGAAUUGGAAAUCUGGUCGCACAUGGCAAAACAGGGUCAAAUUCGUGGCAAUAUUUCAAAUUGUUGAUCGGUUCUUCGGUGUACGUUCUCAUUCUGAGCUGUCUCCUGGUUCUCGAAAUUAUUUCUUUUGAGAAAAAUAAUCCCGUGACUCGUCGCGCUUCGUGGGAAAGCCAAGAAAAUUCUGCCCUUCAAAAUUCUACGUUCCUGUCUUCACUUUUUGACCACGAUGAGCAAAGAAGUUCACUGGGACAAGUGAUUGGAAUUGCCAUAUUCAUCCUCGUCAUUUUCUUGUUCAUCGACUGGGAACUACUCAAAGCGGCCAACCAGAGAAAUGUCGGAAAAUGUAGAAUUUGGCGAACAGUGCGUUGCAUUCGCUUAACGUUCGCCAUAAUUAUUUUCAUUACGGGAUUUUACAAAGUCAGGAUGCAACAAUUGCAGGGCGUAGUGUUGGCGGAAAUCGUAGUAGAUUUGUGCUGCAUUUUUGUCGUGCAAAAAUUUAUUCGCGAACUGAAGUGUGAAGAGUGUGAGGAGGGCGACAUAAGGAGCUCUGUGUCUCAAGCAGCAGCCAUAACCGUGCAGGAUAAUUUUUACGAGGAAAAGAAGAUCAAGGAAAAGCAAAGGCCAGCAAAACAUGUGACCAUUGUCGAGUAAUUAAGUCCUCGAUUUGUUGUACAAUACCAUAAAACCGAUCUAUCGAAGGCUAUGCAGUGGAUUAAGAGAUGCAGGGUGUGCAUCUCUUGAGCUUUUAUUUAUGUAACAUAUUUACAUAUUUAUGUGUAUAUGCUGUAUUAUUUUUACUCAUGCUGCACAUUAACAAAUAAAUAUUUACAUCGUUUCUACA
RNA transcript from Folsomia candida, 1186 nucleotides. RefSeq lists it as uncharacterized. Lineage: Eukaryota; Metazoa; Arthropoda; Collembola; Entomobryomorpha; Isotomidae. The record is from RefSeq and is a predicted model, not a curated record. The transcript is spliced from 4 exons.